UAACAGGGCCAUCUCAUCUCUGGGAAACUGUUGAAUCUGGUCUUGGGCCAUAAUUCAUUCUUAUUAGAGCCAAUAAUUUCCAUCAUUAAUACAGUGGCUUCUUCUGGCCUACAGUUGGAAGAUAGGUUCUGAAGAAACUUAAACUUGUAAAAAUCCCUGGCAGAUAUUGCCCUGGUCAUAGGUGGCUCAACAUGCCUCAACAAAAAGGGUGAAAGAGAGCAAAGUAUCAUUUUAUUGGCAUAGUGAUGCAAGUGGUCCAGUUUUCUUAAAUUUUUCCUUAAGUUCAGAGAUGGCAUCCUCAAGGCUAAUUUUAGCUGAUGUCAACUUAUUUUCUCUUGGUCGGAUGAAAGUUCUGUGAAGUUCAGGGCAGUAACUGCACCUUAAAAGGGCACCUCUUCUCCUACUUUCUCUAGGCAAGGAUUGAAGAGACCAGCCUUUGGUAAGCCCAUAUGCUGUCACUCUACCUCCACAGAAGAUUUCUCAGUCCAAGUGAGAAGCUCAUGGUAUCACCGUGUUCCUCUCUCCUAUUCACACUGGGCAGCUAGGCAGAAGGUGAAGACUUCUGGCUGAGUACACGUGGGAACCUGACUCUGCCCUAGCAGGUAGUAGAGCACAAACUGGGAUGGGUAAUUCUGGUCCUUUCCUACUUUAAACAGUGAUGAGCUAAUGUAGCCUAACUAGGUAAUGCAAUGAGGCUGUGGGAAACAUGGCCAGAGAGGAUCUCCAUUCCUUGACGGACAUUCUCCAGGAAACUGCUGUUACUGCUCAGCACAAAGAGCAGAAGUUCUAAUGCCUUUCUCCAGAAGACUCAGUUUGGAUGUCAAGAGAAAGCAGAUUUUCAGGCACAGAUCCUCACUUCUUGAGCCAUCAGGAUUGAAAAACAAGUCACUGGGGCCCUGGAAAGCACAAUUUUUCCUUUCCCACACAUGAGCUGCUUCGUCUAGUGGUUGGAGGGAAGCAGCACCUGUGCUUCCAUGCUCUCCAGGAAGGAUGACCUGGCUGUGCUGUCAGACUUGGACCAAGCUCCAGAGAUCUUGCUUGGACUGAAGGGUUUGGUACUCCAGCCAUGUGAGCGCCAUCAAAUAAGCAGGUAGGGAACAGGUAAGACUGGUGCAGAAGGCUCCC
RNAcentral lists this long non-coding RNA (1125 nucleotides) under Phasianus colchicus (ring-necked pheasant). RNAcentral describes it as "lncRNA (ENSPCLG00000004318.1)". Lineage: Eukaryota; Metazoa; Chordata; Aves; Galliformes; Phasianidae. The record is from RNAcentral.